This 73-nucleotide transfer RNA is filed under the name Felis catus (domestic cat). It matches the Rfam family "tRNA". From Rfam's summary of the family: Transfer RNA (tRNA) molecules are approximately 80 nucleotides in length. Their secondary structure includes four short double-helical elements and three loops (D, anti-codon, and T loops). The record is from Rfam by way of RNAcentral. Lineage: Eukaryota; Metazoa; Chordata; Mammalia; Carnivora; Felidae.
AUCUGGUUAGCUUAGUCAGUAGAGCAUGGGACUCUUGAUCUCCAAGUUGUGAGUUCAAGUCCCACAUUAGGUG